Molecule: long non-coding RNA, 2666 nt
Filed under: Olea europaea subsp. europaea
Lineage: Eukaryota; Viridiplantae; Streptophyta; Magnoliopsida; Lamiales; Oleaceae
Source: RNAcentral
CUUUCUUACAUGUAUAUCUGACUAUUGUUUUGGUGAUUCUAAUUUGGAAGUAUUGUGUCCAGGUCUUGGAUCUUGGUAUAUUCCCCAGACCAGAAUUUUAUCUACCUACUAGCAUGAACAUCAUUGUACUGUAAGUUCUCAGGUUUCCUUUCUUUGAUUUUCAGAGUCGUCUCUUUUGAGUCCAGAAAUAGAUAGAAACUGUUUUUAUAACUGGUUGAUAGCUAUAAACUGGUCAAAGAUCAAUAUAUGUGUACUUCAUAAACAAUUAAUCUUCAAUAGUUAAUUGAUUAUCGAGUGCUGAUAAUCUAUAUUCAUAUCAAAUAUCUUUGUUAAUCUCAUUGAAUUUUCUAUGCAUAUUGGGGCAUAAAAUAUCUGAAAUGUUUAACUAUUUGGAGGACCUUAACUAGUAACACGAUGUCAUCAAUCAGAAGGGUUACAAGGAGAAUUCCUCUUGGCCUGAAGUAUGCUGAGGCGAUCAAAUUUAACUUGUUACACUUCAAAUUUGACUUUCAAAGAUUUCUACAUGUAUUUAUUUGCCCAAUCUGAAAUCAUUUUAUGGUGACGUAACACAGAUUUCAUGGGCCAAGUUCUCUCCAAGCGAAUCUAAGCAUAGUGCUUUAUAUUGUGCCUUCAAGGAAUGUCUCAAGCUAUGCAUGAAAACUCGUGUCUAGAAUUAAAAAGGGACAGCCUUUCAAAUUACAUGCCAUUUAUUCAUUUAAAUCUAUAGACACAUAAACCUUAUCGGAGCCCAUUUCAGGUGAACGUGAACUUCAGAACUUAAAGAUAUGUUUGGCUAAGCUUAAAAUGUUUACUUAUAAAAUGAAUAAGCAAGUCUCACAAUAAAUAAUAUUUUUUACUGGUAAUAGUUGGAAGUAGUUACUUAUUUUACAGUAAGUUAAUAAUUACUUUCAGAUUAAGCAACUUUUUUACUUUGAGAGUUAAGAGUAAGAAAAAUAGGUUACAUCUUUAAGCCUGUUUGGAAACUAAAAGCUACUUAAAAGUACUUAUCUAAGCUUAGCCAAACAUGCUCUUUCAUUUACUGUGGUUAUGACUUUCUGGUUGCAUUUGUAGGUGAGGCUCGAGCUGGUGGACCAAGCAACAAAGGAGACCAGAUUCCCACAAAUUAUGUGCAAUCUCCAAGCACAGCAUAGGUAUCUGACAUGGAGACAGAAAAGAGAGGUAACAUUGUGCUUUCUCACAUAUGUCAAGUUAUUGUAUUUAUUUCCCCCAUCUUUGUGUACUGUAGUCGUGAAUCUUGUUUGCUAAUGGAUAUGUUAGAUUUAUCUUCUUAAUUCAUGAUGAACUUAUUACGAGUCAUUAGUGAAUAAAAAGCAACUGCAAUCCGCACUAGUUACACGGUGGCGGUUAAAGUGCCGUGUAAACAUUCUCAGAUCACGGGGAAAUGGUUCAAUUAACACUUUGGUGCACUUUAUUUUAUUAUUAUCAUUGUUGUUGUUGUUAUUAUUAUUAUUUUAUUUUUUUUGUGUAGAAAACAAAUGCUGCAUAUUCAUUAGUCUAUGAUGGUUAUAGCUGUAUAUACGAGUUUAUGUGUCUGUGACAUCCAGAGGUCCAAUUUGCAAUGUUCAUCUUAUCUGAAGUUUAUGAUGUAAUUUGAUUAGGUUCAUUAAAAAGACAAUUCAUGAAACAAAAAUUUAACAGAAGGCUGAUGGAAAACUCUGAAUAUCAGGAUCCAGGUUAUCAAGUUUUGACAAGACUAAUUAGGAGGACUCCUGCUUAGGUAUCUGUUUAGGGUUAUCGAGCAUCAUAUUUUAUAUUUCUUUAUGUAGUUGUUUCACAUUAUCAUUAUUUGGUAGGAACCAAUUAGAAACUUCCUCUUCAAUGGAGUUGACGAGCUUGGAACUUGGAAGCAAAACAUUUCUCAACUACUUUCCUGAGUAUAAGUGUGGGGAUGGGACUAUAAAUUGAAGGGCAGCAUGGUUGGAAAAUCAUUUGAAAGUUGACCCUGGGAUGGUAGAGGAGAAUUUUUUGGUGAUAAUUAAUUAAUCAUGGAUAGACGGCCUGCAUUUCAAAUCAUCUUCCUUCUUGCUGUCACCAUUAUUAUCCUCUUUUACCUGAUAUCUGAUAUGUAGAUUGCCUUGUCUGCAACAAACUCCUUCCAUCGUAUAAAUCUUGGUCUUCCAUUACAUGAAAGCAAUGCAGAAAUCUUGUGGAAGUUAGUUUGAGAGUAAGCUUAUGUGAUAUCUCAUAAGCUAUUCGAGUUCAGUUCCUCAUCCAUCCAACUAUGACAGUGCUAAAAGUUUUGUAAGUCUUGCAAGAACAUGGACCCCUCCAUUUUUAUUUCGCGAUUGAUUGAAGUUGUUGCUGGGUAGAGCUUCCUAUUUGUUAAAGAAUAAAGAUAUAGAAAGAUUAUCGUGAAUAGUCUGAAAAUUUUUCCUCAUACGUUGAUGUACAUUCUUAAUAGUUUGGUUCUCUUUUAGUUAUUUGUAAUUCCAUAAAUUCUCAGCGCUUAUCUGUUUGAACACAUAAAUUAUUAUGUGUUCAUAGUUUUAACCAUAUUGACCUAGCUGAAAAAUCCUGGUUUGACUUUUAGACUCUUCGAAUAAAUGUCAUUUCGGAUUUUAAAAUAUUUGAUACAUGUAGAAAGGCCGGUGGCCUACAAGGAACGUAAGAUUGCACAAAUGACAUUAUUCUGAGGUAGGUUCAAU